CCAAGGGUAUGCCUUAGGUAGCGGCGAGUGAAGCGGCAAAGCUCAAAUUUGAAAUCUGGCUCUUUCAGAGUCCGAGUUGUAAUUUGAAGAAGGUAUCUUUGGGUCUGGCUCUUGUCUAUGUUUCUUGGAACAGAACGUCACAGAGGGUGAGAAUCCCGUGCGAUGAGAUGAUCCAGGCCUAUGUAAAGUUCCUUCGAAGAGUCGAGUUGUUUGGGAAUGCAGCUCUAAGUGGGUGGUAAAUUCCAUCUAAAGCUAAAUAUUGGCGAGAGACCGAUAGCGAACAAGUACAGUGAUGGAAAGAUGAAAAGAACUUUGAAAAGAGAGUGAAAAAGUACGUGAAAUUGUUGAAAGGGAAGGGCUUGAGAUCAGACUUGGUAUUUUGUAUGUUACUUCUUCGGGGGUGGCCUCUACAGUUUAUCGGGCCAGCAUCAGUUUGGGCGGUAGGAGAAUUGCGUUGGAAUGUGGCACGGCUUCGGUUGUGUGUUAUAGCCUUCGUCGAUACUGCCAGCCUAGACUGAGGACUGCGGUUUAUACCUAGGAUGUUGGCAUAAUGAUCUUAAGUCGCCCGUCUUGAACCACGGACCAAA
Molecule: ribosomal RNA, 587 nt
Filed under: Candida tropicalis
Lineage: Eukaryota; Fungi; Ascomycota; Pichiomycetes; Serinales; Debaryomycetaceae
Description: partial large subunit ribosomal RNA
Rfam family: Eukaryotic large subunit ribosomal RNA
Source: RNAcentral